GAAGUGGUGUGUGUGCUGCGACCCCGAGGGAAGAUGAACGGGACGCGGAACUGGUGUACCCUGGUGGACGUGCACCCAGAGGACCAGGCGGCGGGCAGUGUGGACACUCUCAGGCUGACUCUCCAGGGUGAACUGACAGGAGAUGAACUUGAACACAUAGCCCAGAAGGCGGGCAGGAAGACCUAUGCCAUGGUGUCCGGCCACUCAGCUGGUCAUUCUCUGGCUUCAGAACUGGUGGAGUCCCAUGAUGGACAUGAGGAAAUCAUUAAGGUGUACUUGAAGGGGAGGUCUGGAGAAAAGAUGAUUCACGAGAAGAAUAUUAACCAGCUGAAGAGUGAGGUCCAGUACAUCCAGGAGGCCAGGAACUGCCUACAGAAGCUCCGGGAGGAUAUAAGUAGCAAGCUUGACAGGGACCUAGGAGAUUCUCUCCAUCGACAGGAGAUACAGGUGGUGCUAGAAAAGCCAAAUGGCUUUAGUCAGAGUCCCACGGCCCUGUACAGCAGCCUACCUGAGGUGGACACCUGUAUAAAUGAGGAUGUUGAGAGCUUGAGGAAGACUGUGCAGGACUUGCUGGCCAAGCUUCAGGAGGCCGAGCGGCAACACCAGUCAGACCGUGUGGCUUUUGAGGUGAGAUUUGGGAUUUGGGGAGAAGGUGCCCUAAGGGAUGGGCUACUGAACACAGG
This 683-nucleotide small RNA is filed under the name Pongo abelii (Sumatran orangutan). RNAcentral describes it as "retained intron". Lineage: Eukaryota; Metazoa; Chordata; Mammalia; Primates; Hominidae. The record is from RNAcentral.